CGGGAUGUGGCUCAGUUUGGUAGAGCGCCUGGUUCGGGACCAGGAGGUCGCAGGUUCAAAUCCUGUCAUCCCGACCA
RNAcentral lists this transfer RNA (77 nucleotides) under Syntrophomonadaceae bacterium. RNAcentral's name for it is "tRNA-Pro(cgg)". It matches the Rfam family "tRNA". From Rfam's summary of the family: Transfer RNA (tRNA) molecules are approximately 80 nucleotides in length. The record is from RNAcentral. RNAcentral also lists the same sequence under 1 other name. Lineage: Bacteria; Bacillati; Bacillota; Clostridia; Eubacteriales; Syntrophomonadaceae.